This is a small nucleolar RNA of Sparus aurata (gilthead seabream), 99 nucleotides long. NCBI's taxonomy places the organism in Eukaryota, Metazoa, Chordata, Actinopteri, Spariformes, Sparidae. The record is from Ensembl.
AUCUUUCCAGUUCAUGAGCAUGAUGAUUGGUGCGUUCACGGACCAUCCGUGACAGGUGCAGCCCUCCUUGUUACGCUCUGCGCCUCAGCCUUUCUGACC